Molecule: long non-coding RNA, 2621 nt
Filed under: Olea europaea subsp. europaea
Lineage: Eukaryota; Viridiplantae; Streptophyta; Magnoliopsida; Lamiales; Oleaceae
Source: RNAcentral
GCGAUUUUGAAGUUCAUAGAUUUUAAUACAAUAAUUUCAAACAUCAAGGGCAAAAUGAUCUCAAUACAUUCACACCCCUUCAUCUUCCCUUACAUGCGAAGGUUCCAUAUCGAUUUUUUCUUUUAAAAACUCCAUUUUUCCAUUCUUCCAUUUGUACAAAAUUUUCUCCCUUCUCCUGGCGUAUGCUCUCCUCUCAUCUCGUAGCAUGUAGUGGAACAACGUAGUGAGAAUAUUUUGAAGAACAGAGGUAAGAGACAUUACAGAUUGGGUAUUUUUCUUUUCAUUUUGCAUUUUGUUGUUCUGCAUGACUGUAAAUAUGUGUGGAGUUUUAAUGCUAUUUAUCAUUCUUAUAUAGACCUUCGAGGAGCAAAUUUUUCUUCCGUUUUUGAGAAAUCCCGACAACGAGUGACUCAUUUAUGGCAUAAUGUUCAUUCCUUAAAUUUCUGGCUGAAUUCAUUUGAAUUCAACAAUGCAUUCACAUAAUUUCAGUGUCCAAUCCCCCAAUUUAUGCCCAUUGAAGUUUGAUGCAUUCAGUGCUCCCCAAUUUAUUACUUGAAGAUCAAAAUGAAGAACCAAUGGGGAAAGAAGUUGAAGGUUUGGUAGAAUCCAAUUAUGAGAUAGAAGCAGAAGUAAUAGCAAGAUCUUGUAGGUACUGCUGAAACUAGGAGUCAAAGAGUUCAUUUUGAUUUUGGGUUUGGUUUAGGGAAUGCGUAGCAGGUUAGGGAUUUCGACACCGACUACGGGGACUCUAAUGAUUUACAGAACAUUCAUAGUGAAGAAGAAGGCGAUACAACUUCAAGAAGUAGGGUCUCCAAUGAUGCUUUCAACAUGGUGUCAGAUGUAGAGGAUCCAAUGUUCAAGCUAGGUAACUGGAACAUAUUCUCUACUUUUGUUUACAUCUAUUUUGCACUUUAGUUAAAUGAGGUCUAUAUGUAUUAAUUUUUUUUAUUGUGCAGGCUUAGUAUUUGAGUUAGAGUUGGUAUUAAAGGCUGCCAUUAAUGAAUAUUCAGUUAGAAGCAAUAGAGAGAUCAAAUUUAAAAAGGAUGACACUCAUAGAUUGAGGGCCAAGUACAAGGGAGAUUGAUCGUGGGUAUUGUAUGCUACCAGAGAGCAUAAUAAGACCAGUUUUAUGAUCGAAACGUUUAUCGAGGACCAUACUUGCCCUAUGGUGUAUAAGAACUUCAGAGUGACCUCAACCUAUUCGGUAGCUAGGUAUUUAUCCGACUGGAGGGCUGAUGUGAAAAUUUCUGUUAGUACAUUCAUUGAAAGGGUUAAGUGGGAUGAUUUGGGUGAUAUCUCAUCUUGGCAAGUGUAUAGAACAAAGAAGAAGGGACUUGAAAAAAUUUGAGGGAGUGUGGUGAAGCAUCAUAAAAUGCUGUAGGAUUAUUGUGAGGAGUUGAAGAGGACGAAUGUUGGGACCACAACUGUAGUUAAGGGACAUGCUGGAGAAUUCAGAUGGCUCUACAUUUGCCUUAGGACAUUGAGGAAUGGUUUCAUUAGGGGCUGCAAAAGGGUGAUUGGCGUAGAUGGUUGCUUUUUGAAAACAGACAUGUUGGGCAAUUAUUGACUGCAAUCGGUGUUGAUGCUAACAAUGGUAUGUAUCCAGUGACAUACGCGGUUGUUGAAGUUGAGAAUGGGGAAAAUUAGAGAUGGUUCUUGGAGCUAUUGAAGGACGAUUUGCAUAUACACAAUAGUUAGCACUAGACAUUCAUUUUUGAUAAGCAAAAGAUUUGACUAAUGCACUUGAGUCAUUGUUUGAGAAUUCAGAGCACAAAAAGUGCGUUUGACAUCUAUACAACAAUUUUAGUGUGUGUCACAAGGGAUUGGCUAGAAUUGUUUAUGGGAUGCAGCUAGAACCAUGACUGUAUCACAAUGGUUGCAGCACAUACAACGUAUGUUGGACUUGGACCCGACUGCUUAUAGCUGGCUUGAAUCGAAACCAGUUGCUCAUUAGAGCAAAUCCCACUUUAGAGAGUGGAAUUAAUGUAACAUGCUUCUCAACAAUUUAUGUGAGUCGUUUAAUAGCACAAUUGUGAAUGCAAGAAAGAAGCCCAUAUUGAACAUGCUAGAGGAGAUAAGGGUAUAUUUGAUGAAGAUAAUGUUAGCCCGUAGGAAGUCUUGUGAUUGGUGGACAGCAGUAGUGGGACUUAGAAUUUAGAAGAUUCUAGAAAAUAAUAGUAAGCUUGCAAGGAAGGUAUGGGUUGAAUACGCAUGUAAUGAAAAGUUCAAGUUCAACACAAUGUCAAGACCAUACUGCACGUUGUAGAUUUAAGGGCAAGAACCUAUGCAUGUCGUGGUUGGCAGCUAUUUAGAAUUCCCUGUUGCCAUGUGAUGGCCUCAGUUGUACCUAGAGGCCUUAAUGUAAUGGAGUUCGUAGAUGAUGUCUACAAGAAGGAUCCAUAUGUCAGGACAUACAUACCAUCAAAUUCUCCCAUCACUAAGUGUAGACUCAUGGCCUACCCUAGGCCUCAACCCUUUAGAUCCACCAGUGUACACAUGGAAGCCAAAGAAAAAUAGAAGAAAAGAGGCAAAUGAGGUAGCUUCUUCAAGUCAACCCAAGAGGUAGUGUCAAUAUUUCGCAGACAUCUUCAGGAACACCAGCUGGUUAAUGUGAAAGAUCG